AAAAAAAAAAAAAAAAAGAAAUUCAAGUGAAAAGCAUUAUAUUCAGAUAAAAAGGCAACGGAGACAAGGGCAAAAAGAACAAGUAAUCAUCAGAAACAAGGAAAGCAAGACAACAGGCAAACAAAAUCCUAAGUGCCUAGGGGUUGGGAGGCGGAGGCAUUCUCUGAAGCAAUUGAGCUAGCAUGUUCUGAAUGUUGUCGUUGAGAGUGUCUUGUUUAUCCAUUCUGGCACGGAGUUCCUUCUGAUCUUUCUUCAGUUCUUCCAGCGUCUGGAGAACCAUAGGAA
RNAcentral lists this long non-coding RNA (285 nucleotides) under Lathyrus oleraceus (garden pea). RNAcentral describes it as "Pisum sativum (pea) long non-coding RNA (PSAT_LNC038035)". Lineage: Eukaryota; Viridiplantae; Streptophyta; Magnoliopsida; Fabales; Fabaceae. The record is from RNAcentral.